GAUGAACGCUAGCGGCAGGCUUAAUACAUGCAAGUCGUGGGGCAGCAGGGGUAGCAAUACCCGCUGGCGACCGGCAAACGGGUGCGGAACACGUACGCAACCUUCCUUUAACUGGAGGAUAGCCCCUCGAAAGAGGGAUUAAUACUCCGUAACAUAUUGAUAAGGCAUCUUAUUAAUAUUAUAGCUCCGGCGGUUAAAGAUGGGCGUGCGCCUGAUUAGAUAGUUGGCAGGGAACGCCUACCAAGUCUGCGAUCAGUAACUGGUGUGAGAGCACGACCAGUCACACGGGCACUGAGACACGGGCCCGACUCCUACGGGAGCAGCAGUAAGGAAUAUUGGUCAAUGGACGCAAGUCUGAACCAGCCAUGCCGCGUGGAGGAUUAA
RNAcentral lists this ribosomal RNA (384 nucleotides) under uncultured bacterium. RNAcentral describes it as "bacterial SSU rRNA". It matches the Rfam family "Bacterial small subunit ribosomal RNA", at positions 28 to 412 of the family's 1533-position model. The record is from RNAcentral.